CUGACUCUGAGGGCUUCGCCUCGAGGUUCUUCAUGGAGGCGCCGCUGUCCUCUGUUUCUGUAGAGGUCCGGGAGAUCGAAUCUUUGGAAAUUUCUGAUUUGUCUCUGUGUCCUUUCAGGAGACGACUCGGGUCUCACGGGCUCAGGCAGAGCCUCUUUGGGUCGUAAUUGUCCUCAUGAACAUUACUAGAUUCUCAAGUUGGAGCCUUGAAAUGUGCGAUCAUGUUUGGGGGAGGGGACAUGAAUAUGUACUUUUUUUUUUAACUUAGGAGGAAAAAUGCUGCACAGACGAGGACAGAAGGAAGCCGGAUAGCCACGUGUCCUUCUAGGCCCACGUCUGUUGCAGUAGUUGUGGUCCCUGUUAACUUCCUCCUGGUCCAGUGUGGAUGCAGUCUUUCCUCAGGGCUGACACUGUCUUCCUGAGGCUCUUUAGAAGAGGAAUGCAGAGCUGCUCUGUCAUUUCCAUAUCUAACGGUGAAAUAUUAUUAACUGCUGCUCGCCUCUCUUUCUAUACAGGGUUCAAUCUCAGUUCCCUUUCAUUCCCCGUCUUUCUCUAGAGAGGAUAAAUCUGCUACAAGUUUAAGGACACAUCCAAAUCCAGAUGAAUUUGAUGUGAAAGCCAAUGGAAAAAGCGACAGAGAAUUGAAUAAUAGCAUUUCUGAAUCAGUAGCCAGAGCUUCAAAAAUGCAUACUAUUAAAUGACUGCAGAGCAAACUAGAGAGUUCAAAUCUGUGACUUUGAACUUCUUCCUCUCAAAGAAGCCUUACGUACAUACCUGACUGACUUAGAAAGAAGCAAGCGUCCCAUCUGUACAUUCCCAGAGGGGAGUGCCUCCAUCAUUUCAGGAUGCUAUCAUAAGAUACCUCAAACUGGGCGGCUUAAAUGACAAGCACCUAUUUCUCAUACGAGUUUGUUUCAGAGCACUUAAGAGGUCUGAAAGAUUAAACCAUGAAUCUCAAAUCAGCAAGUACACAUCUUCUAUCAUACUGUGAAAAUAACUGCAGGCUUGAACUUUCUUCAAAGGCCCUGCACUCUCACAUUUCCCAGCUGAGAAGUAUAGAUUUCCAGCCAGAGCGCUCAGAACUCAAAUGAUGUUACUUUCAAGUCUGUGCUUCCCGAAGCAAAGGGCUGCCAAGUGUGUAUGACAGAGUUCAAAACUGCAAGCCAACAAAGCCGACUCCCCUUUCCGAGACAGAAUGAUGAAUUGAAUCAUCCUUCAGGGGAUGGAUCACCUUGGCAUCCUUUAGAAAUAGCCACUUCAUUCUGAAAUGCUGCAAUGUUUUGGGAAUAUACACAUUUACGUUUCUGUCAGGCUGUUUGUAAGCCAAGCUAUGUGCGUGAGUCUCCCCUAGUUUUGAUAUACAAUUCCUUCAAUUAUGUCAGCAGCCAAUGACAGAGCACAUGAUGAUCUUAUACAAUUCAAGGUAUUUUAUGAAAAUCUUAAAAAUGGUCUUUUGUCAUCAAUGUAAAAAAUAAAAAUAUUUUAUAUUCCAUUAUCAUUUGUGCAUGUAAGUAAAAUAUUCAGUCUCA
Cavia porcellus (domestic guinea pig) is the source of this 1529-nucleotide long non-coding RNA. RefSeq lists it as uncharacterized. Lineage: Eukaryota; Metazoa; Chordata; Mammalia; Rodentia; Caviidae. The transcript has 3 exons. The record is from RefSeq and is a predicted model, not a curated record.